This 22-nucleotide microRNA is filed under the name Cordylochernes scorpioides. The record is from RNAcentral. Lineage: Eukaryota; Metazoa; Arthropoda; Arachnida; Pseudoscorpiones; Chernetidae.
GUGGGGCACACCCACGGUUGGU